Zunongwangia atlantica 22II14-10F7 is the source of this 322-nucleotide non-coding RNA. It matches the Rfam family "Bacterial RNase P class A". Rfam says of the family: Ribonuclease P (RNase P) is a ubiquitous endoribonuclease, found in archaea, bacteria and eukarya as well as chloroplasts and mitochondria. Its best characterised activity is the generation of mature 5'-ends of tRNAs by cleaving the 5'-leader elements of precursor-tRNAs. Cellular RNase Ps are ribonucleoproteins. The record is from Rfam. NCBI's taxonomy places the organism in Bacteria, Pseudomonadati, Bacteroidota, Flavobacteriia, Flavobacteriales, Flavobacteriaceae.
CAAGCAGGUCGGCCCUAUCGCUAAGCUCAUAUUUGUGGUUUAGAGGAAAGUCCGGACACCAUAGAGCAGCAUAGUGGGUAACGCCCACCGGUCGUGAGGCCAGGACAAGUGCAACAGAAAGAAUGUACAGGUAAUGCUGUAGUGAAACCAGGUAAACUCUAUGCGGUGCAAUGCCAUGUAAACCAAUAUUAUCAAAUUGCUCGUUUGUCGUUGGAGGGUAGGCAGCUAAAGGGCUUUGGUAACAAAGUUCUCAGAUAAAUGACAAGGGCAUCCUGAUGUAUUUCAGGGUGAACAGAAUCCGGCUUACAGACCUGCUUUUUUA